Molecule: ribosomal RNA, 1915 nt
Filed under: Salmonella enterica
Lineage: Bacteria; Pseudomonadati; Pseudomonadota; Gammaproteobacteria; Enterobacterales; Enterobacteriaceae
Description: partial 23S ribosomal RNA
Rfam family: Bacterial large subunit ribosomal RNA
Source: RNAcentral
ACUGUUUCGGCUAGGGGGCCAUCCCGGCUUACCAACCCGAUGCAAACUGCGAAUACCGGAGAAUGUUAUCACGGGAGACACACGGCGGGUGCUAACGUCCGUCGUGAAGAGGGAAACAACCCAGACCGCCAGCUAAGGUCCCAAAGUCAUGGUUAAGUGGGAAACGAUGUGGGAAGGCCCAGACAGCCAGGAUGUUGGCUUAGAAGCAGCCAUCAUUUAAAGAAAGCGUAAUAGCUCACUGGUCGAGUCGGCCUGCGCGGAAGAUGUAACGGGGCUAAACCAUGCACCGAAGCUGCGGCAGCGACGCUGAUGCGUUGUUGGGUAGGGGAGCGUUCUGUAAGCCUGUGAAGGUGGCCUGUGAGGGUUGCUGGAGGUAUCAGAAGUGCGAAUGCUGACAUAAGUAACGAUAAAGCGGGUGAAAAGCCCGCUCGCCGGAAGACCAAGGGUUCCUGUCCAACGUUAAUCGGGGCAGGGUGAGUCGACCCCUAAGGCGAGGCCGAAAGGCGUAGUCGAUGGGAAACGGGUUAAUAUUCCCGUACUUGGUGUUACUGCGAAGGGGGGACGGAGAAGGCUAUGUUGGCCGGGCGACGGUUGUCCCGGUUUAAGCGUGUAGGUGUGUGUUCCAGGUAAAUCCGGUUCACUUUAACACUGAGGCGUGAUGACGAGGCACUACGGUGCUGAAGCAACAAAUGCCCUGCUUCCAGGAAAAGCCUCUAAGCAUCAGGUAACAUCAAAUCGUACCCCAAACCGACACAGGUGGUCAGGUAGAGAAUACCAAGGCGCUUGAGAGAACUCGGGUGAAGGAACUAGGCAAAAUGGUGCCGUAACUUCGGGAGAAGGCACGCUGACACGUAGGUGAAGUGAUUUACUCAUGGAGCUGAAGUCAGUCGAAGAUACCAGCUGGCUGCAACUGUUUAUUAAAAACACAGCACUGUGCAAACACGAAAGUGGACGUAUACGGUGUGACGCCUGCCCGGUGCCGGAAGGUUAAUUGAUGGGGUCAGCGCAAGCGAAGCUCCUGAUCGAAGCCCCGGUAAACGGCGGCCGUAACUAUAACGGUCCUAAGGUAGCGAAAUUCCUUGUCGGGUAAGUUCCGACCUGCACGAAUGGCGUAAUGAUGGCCAGGCUGUCUCCACCCGAGACUCAGUGAAAUUGAACUCGCUGUGAAGAUGCAGUGUACCCGCGGCAAGACGGAAAGACCCCGUGAACCUUUACUAUAGCUUGACACUGAACAUUGAGCCUUGAUGUGUAGGAUAGGUGGGAGGCUUUGAAGUGUGGACGCCAGUCUGCAUGGAGCCGGCCUUGAAAUACCACCCUUUAAUGUUUGAUGUUCUAACGUGGACCCGUGAUCCGGGUUGCGGACAGUGUCUGGUGGGUAGUUUGACUGGGGCGGUCUCCUCCUAAAGAGUAACGGAGGAGCACGAAGGUUGGCUAAUCCUGGUCGGACAUCAGGAGGUUAGUGCAAUGGCAUAAGCCAGCUUGACUGCGAGCGUGACGGCGCGAGCAGGUGCGAAAGCAGGUCAUAGUGAUCCGGUGGUUCUGAAUGGAAGGGCCAUCGCUCAACGGAUAAAAGGUACUCCGGGGAUAACAGGCUGAUACCGCCCAAGAGUUCAUAUCGACGGCGGUGUUUGGCACCUCGAUGUCGGCUCAUCACAUCCUGGGGCUGAAGUAGGUCCCAAGGGUAUGGCUGUUCGCCAUUUAAAGUGGUACGCGAGCUGGGUUUAGAACGUCGUGAGACAGUUCGGUCCCUAUCUGCCGUGGGCGCUGGAGAACUGAGGGGGGCUGCUCCUAGUACGAGAGGACCGGAGUGGACGCAUCACUGGUGUUCGGGUUGUCAUGCCAAUGGCACUGCCCGGUAGCUAAAUGCGGAAGAGAUAAGUGCUGAAAGCAUCUAAGCACGAAACUUGCCCCGAGA